This 460-nucleotide ribosomal RNA is filed under the name uncultured bacterium. RNAcentral's name for it is "partial 16S ribosomal RNA". It matches the Rfam family "Bacterial small subunit ribosomal RNA", at positions 338 to 795 of the family's 1533-position model. The record is from RNAcentral.
CCUACGGGAGGCAGCAGUGAGGAAUAUUGGUCAAUGGACGAGAGUCUGAACCAGCCAAGUAGCGUGAAGGAUGACUGCCCUAUGGGUUGUAAACUUCUUUUAUAUGGGAAUAAAACGUUCCACGUGUGGGAUUUUGUAUGUACCAUAUGAAUAAGGAUCGGCUAACUCCGUGCCAGCAGCCGCGGUAAUACGGAGGAUACGAGCGUUAUCCGGAUUUAUUGGGUUUAAAGGGAGCGUAGGUGGAUUGUUAAGUCAGUUGUGAAAGUUUGCGGCUCAACCGUAAAAUUGCAGUUGAAACUGGCAGUCUUGAGUACAGUAGAGGUGGGCGGAAUGCGUGGUGUAGCGGUGAAAUGCUUAGAUAUCACGAAGAACUCCGAGUGCGAAGGCAGUUCACUGGACUGCAACUGACACUGAGGCUCGAAAGUGUGGGUAUCAAACAGGAUUAGAUACCCCAGUAGUC